CCUACGGGCAGCAGCAGUGGGGAAUAUUGCACAAUGGGGGAAACCCUGAUGCAGCGACGCCGCGUGAGUGAAGAAGUAAUUCGUUAUGUAAAGCUCUAUCAGCAGGGAAGAAAAUUACGGUACCUGAGUAAGACUCCCCGGCUAACUACGUGCCAGCGGCCGCGGUAAUACGUAGGGGGCAAGCGUUAUCCGGAUUUACUGGGUGUAAAGGGGGCGUAGACGGCAGUGCAAGUCUGGAGUGAAAGGCGGGGGCUUAACCCCCGGACUGAUAUGGAAACUGUACGGCUGGAGUGCAGGAGAGGUAAGUGGAAUUCCUAGUGGAGCGGUGAAAUGCGUAGAUAUUAGGCGGAACACCAGUGGCGAAGGCGGCUUACUGGACUGUAACUGACGUUGAGGCUCGAAAGCGUGGGGAGCAAACAGGAUUAGAUACCCGGGUAGUC
RNAcentral lists this ribosomal RNA (440 nucleotides) under uncultured bacterium. Its description in RNAcentral is "partial 16S ribosomal RNA". It matches the Rfam family "Bacterial small subunit ribosomal RNA", at positions 338 to 795 of the family's 1533-position model. The record is from RNAcentral.